UUAUUGAAAUAAACCUGAUGGGUUGUUGCUGGUUCUCUUGGGAGCAUUGUGCACGCCUUGUCAUCUUUAUAUCUCCACCUGUGCACUUUUUGUAGACCUUUCAGGUCUAUGUUGCUUCAUUUACCCCAAUGUAUGUUAAUAGAAUGUUGUGCCUAUAUAAUAUAUACAACUUUCAGCAACGGAUCUCUUGGCUCUCGCAUCGAUGAAGAACGCAGCGAAAUGCGAUAAGUAAUGUGAAUUGCAGAAUUCAGUGAAUCAUCGAAUCUUUGAACGCACCUUGCGCUCCUUGGUAUUCCGAGGAGCAUGCCUGUUUGAGUGUCAUUAAUAUAUAUAUCAAACUUCUCUUGUUGAGUGGUUUGGAUGUGGGGGUUUGCUGGCCUGUUCAGCUCCUCUGAAAUGCAUUAGCAGAACAAACCCUGUUCAUUGGUGUGAUAACUAUCUACGCUAUUGAAUGUGAGGGGCAGUUCAGCUUUCUAACCGUCCUUGGACAAUUCAUCAUUAAUGUGACCUCAAAUCAGGUAGGACUACCCGCUGAACUUAAGCAUAUCU
This 549-nucleotide ribosomal RNA is filed under the name Cortinarius sp. 2 SE-2015. RNAcentral's name for it is "eukaryotic LSU rRNA". The stretch from base 168 to 321 matches the Rfam family "5.8S ribosomal RNA". The record is from RNAcentral. Lineage: Eukaryota; Fungi; Basidiomycota; Agaricomycetes; Agaricales; Cortinariaceae.